Long non-coding RNA from Homo sapiens (human), 919 nucleotides. Lineage: Eukaryota; Metazoa; Chordata; Mammalia; Primates; Hominidae. The record is from Ensembl.
CCCAGAUGGCUCUACACGUGCCUGAGGUAGCCACUCCCGAAAUAUAAAGAGCUCUCUGUCACAUCUGGCUUCCAACCGGAUGAUGGCAGAAACCAAGGGAGGGCAGGCAGAGCGGAAACGAGCCAGGAAAAGCGACAAGUCAGGAAGACCCUCGGCUCCUAUCCCGCCCCACCGCAGGGCCCCACACAGCCUGAGCCCGGGCCCCGAAAGGAACGAGGCCUCCUGCGCCUCGCGGAGACACUCACUUUUCACCUGAGGCCACCAGCUCUUUGCCCUCGCUGUUGCCAAACGCGUCCGUCUCCCCGGGGCCGUCCUUGGGGCCGGGCGCCGCCGGGGCAGCGGGUGGCGACACCCCGGGCUGCGGAUGCGUGCUCCCCUUGCCCAGCUCCUGCAAGAUCUCCGAAGGAGAGCUGGACAGGCCCCGCGCGAGGGGCUCCGCCGGCCAGCCGCCCCCGCCCCACCACGGGUGGAGUCGCGCGGCGGCAGCCGGGCCCGCGGCCGGCCGUCCCCCGCCUCGGGGACGCCGGCACAGGGUGACCAAGGGCUGUGCCCGCCGCAGAGUCGCGCUCACGCCGGCGGGCGACCGCAGGAGCAGGUCCCGCAGCAUCCCCGAGCCUCGCAGCCGCAUCAUGCCGCCGGGUCCGUCAGCGCCCGCUCAACAGGGGAGGAUGCUCCGGGCGUGGGCGGCCGGUUUCCUCGGGGAACGCGGUCUGUGGUGGGGCGGUGAGAUGACAGAAGAGGAAAGGGCAGCUACUUGGGUGUGGUUCCGGCUCGGACUCCCGCAGCGGAUGCGGGUGCUGCUGCUGCUGCUGCUGCUGCUGCUGCUGCUGCUGCUGCUGCUGCGCGCUAGGAUUGCCGCGACCGGUUCUCUUCGCUCCGCCUAAGGCUCCGCACUGAGGCUAAAGCGCAGGGGAGGGCU